UGAAAGUAGCCCAAGGCUGAAAUCUUAUGCACAACUUACAAAAGGAGCUCUCAGAUUUUCUGCUGAGCAAACAUGCUUCAGAUCCAGUUGCAAUAGGCAUGGACAACUCAGUAUCCAAAGAUGACCUAUUAAUUUCUCUCCCUCUUGUGUUUUCUUGGUGCAUCAUAAUGGGGUCCUUCUCAUUAAAGGACAACUAGACUUGGAAGGUACUUGGUCCUUUGCAAUUUUGCCACUUUUGCAAGCCAUGGGGCCGUUCCUGUCUUCUCUUUCAUCAUCUCUACCGCCAGUGGUGCUAAUUUGGCAGACAGAUGCCCGCUACUAGUCAACACCCAUCCCAGGAAGCUCGUGACUCAGUUGGAACAGGGAGACGAGUGGGAGCUGGGUUCCUGUUUAUUAGGUGAUUGUAUGAAGAAGACCCAAGACCACCCAGUGGGAUUACUACAGAGAACUACUUAUCAUGCAGCCAAUGAAGACCCGGAAGAGGCCGCUUUGGGAUACAUAGUCAGAGAUCACAGCGUUGGCAGC
Non-coding RNA from Zootoca vivipara (common lizard), 525 nucleotides. The record is from RefSeq and is a predicted model, not a curated record. NCBI's taxonomy places the organism in Eukaryota, Metazoa, Chordata, Lepidosauria, Squamata, Lacertidae.